AUAAAUUUUGUGUCACUAAUCCUCCGUUUGGUUCGGGGUUAAGAAAAAAGUAGCUAUUACAGGGAUAGGGUUAAGUUCAGGGUUAAAGUGGGGUUAAAGUUUUUUUGUGUUUGGUUGGGGGUUGGAGUUAGUCUAGAAUAUUGAAAAAUAGUGUUUGAUUGUAGUAGGUAGGAUAAGAAGAUAAUGAUUGAUAAAGAAGGAUAAUGAUUGGUUGGAGUAGGUGGGAUAAGAAGGAUAAUGAUUAAUAAAGAAAGUAAAAUUACUAAAAUAGCCUCACUGUAAUCAUUUGAAAUAAAUA
RNAcentral lists this long non-coding RNA (298 nucleotides) under Ananas comosus (pineapple). RNAcentral's name for it is "long non-coding RNA (ACOM_LNC029256)". Lineage: Eukaryota; Viridiplantae; Streptophyta; Magnoliopsida; Poales; Bromeliaceae. The record is from RNAcentral.